RNAcentral lists this ribosomal RNA (415 nucleotides) under bacterium enrichment culture clone ALO1_GLFRUDD03G4VGI. RNAcentral describes it as "bacterial SSU rRNA". It matches the Rfam family "Bacterial small subunit ribosomal RNA", at positions 9 to 424 of the family's 1533-position model. The record is from RNAcentral.
GAGUUUGAUCUUGGCUCCAGAUUGAACGCUGGCGGCAUGCCUUACACAUGCAAGUCGAACGGCAGCACGGGAGCUUGCUCCUGGUGGCGAGUGGCGAACGGGUGAGUAAUGCAUCGGAACGUAGUCCUGGAGUGGGGGAUAACGUAGCGAAAGUUACGCUAAUACCGCAUAUUCUGUGAGCAGGAAAGCGGGGGACCUUCGGGCCUCGCGCUCUUGGAGCGGCCGAUGUCGGAUUAGCUAGUUGGUGAGGUAAAGGCUCACCAAGGCGACGAUCCGUAGCAGGUCUGAGAGGAUGAUCUGCCACACUGGAACUGAGACACGGUCCAGACUCCUACGGGAGGCAGCAGUGGGGAAUUUUGGACAAUGGGGGCAACCCUGAUCCAGCCAUGCCGCGUGAGUGAAGAAGGCCUCGGUU